CGGACGGGUGAGUAAUGUCUGGGAAACUGCCUGAUGGAGGGGGAUAACUACUGGAAACGGUAGCUAAUACCGCAUAACGUCGCAAGACCAAAGAGGGGGAUCUUAGGGCCUCUUGCCAUCGGAUGUACCCAGAUGGGAUUAGCUAGUAGGUGGGGUAACGGCUCACCUAGGCGACGAUCCCUAGCUGGUCUGAGAGGAUGACCAGCCACACUGGAACUGAGACACGGUCCAG
RNAcentral lists this ribosomal RNA (232 nucleotides) under uncultured bacterium. Its description in RNAcentral is "partial 16S ribosomal RNA". It matches the Rfam family "Bacterial small subunit ribosomal RNA", at positions 99 to 334 of the family's 1533-position model. The record is from RNAcentral.